AACGAGGCCAGAGUUACGCCUGGACACUGACAUGUUGUCCUGAUGUGCUAGAGUGCUUGCAGAGGAAAAGAUCUCUGCUUAUUCAUUGGCUGUAGUCUAAUGUGGCCCAGUCAAUUACCGGCUCAGAUACACCA
This 134-nucleotide small nucleolar RNA is filed under the name Stegastes partitus (bicolor damselfish). RNAcentral describes it as "Small nucleolar RNA SNORA3/SNORA45 family (ENSSPAG00000005093.1)". It matches the Rfam family "Small nucleolar RNA SNORA3/SNORA45 family". From Rfam's summary of the family: The members of this family belong to the H/ACA class of snoRNAs which are thought to guide the sites of modification of uridines to pseudouridines. This family includes mouse snoMBI-28 and human homologues ACA3 (SNORA3) and ACA3-2 (SNORA45). Both ACA3 and ACA3-2 share the same host gene. The record is from Rfam by way of RNAcentral. Lineage: Eukaryota; Metazoa; Chordata; Actinopteri; Pomacentridae.